Molecule: ribosomal RNA, 497 nt
Filed under: uncultured bacterium
Lineage: Bacteria
Description: partial 16S ribosomal RNA
Rfam family: Bacterial small subunit ribosomal RNA
Source: RNAcentral
GAUGAACGCUGGCGGCGUGCCUAAUACAUGCAAGUCGAGCGAACAGAUAAGGAGCUUGCUCCUUUGACGUUAGCGGCGGACGGGUGAGUAACACGUGGGUAACCUACCUAUAAGACUGGAAUAACUCCGGGAAACCGGGGCUAAUGCCGGAUAACAUUUAGAACCGCAUGGUUCUAAAGUGAAAGAUGGUUUUGCUGUCACUAAUAGAUGGACCCGCGCCGUAUUAGCUAGUUGGUAAGGUAACGGCUUACCAAGGCAACGAUACGUAGCCGACCUGAGAGGGUGAUCGGCCACACUGGAACUGAGACACGGUCCAGACUCCUACGGGAGGCAGCAGUAGGGAAUCUUCCGCAAUGGGCGAAAGCCUGACGGAGCAACGCCGCGUGAGUGAUGAAGGUCUUCGGAUCGUAAAACUCUGUUAUUAGGGAAGAACAAAUGUGUAAGUAACUGUGCACGUCUUGACGGUACCUAAUCAGAAAGCCACGGCUAACUACGUG